AUUGAACGCUGGCGGCAGGCCUAACACAUGCAAGUCGAACGGUAACAGGAAGCAGCUUGCUUCUUUGCUGACGAGUGGCGGACGGGUGAGUAAUGUCUGGGAAACUGCCUGAUGGAGGGGGAUAACUACUGGAAACGGUAGCUAAUACCGCAUAACGUCGCAAGACCAAAAAGGGGGACCUUCGGGCCUCUUGCCAUCGGAUGUGCCCAGAUGGGAUUAGCUAGUAGGUGGGGUAACGGCUCACCUAGGCGACGAUCCCUAGCUGGUCUGAGAGGAUGACCAGCCACACUGGAACUGAGACACGGUCCAGACUCCUACGGGAGGCAGCAGUGGGGAAUAUUGCACAAUGGGCGCAAGCCUGAUGCAGCCAUGCCGCGUGUAUGAAGAAGGCCUUCGGGUUGUAAAGUACUUUCAGCGGGGAGGAAGGGAGUAAAGUUAAUACCUUUGCUCAUUGACGUUACCCGCAGAAGAAGCACCGGCUAACUCCGUG
This 490-nucleotide ribosomal RNA is filed under the name uncultured bacterium. Its description in RNAcentral is "partial 16S ribosomal RNA". It matches the Rfam family "Bacterial small subunit ribosomal RNA", at positions 30 to 507 of the family's 1533-position model. The record is from RNAcentral.